AGUGAACGCUGGCGGUAGGCCUAACACAUGCAAGUCGAACGGCAGCACAGUAAGAGCUUGCUCUUACGGGUGGCGAGUGGCGGACGGGUGAGGAAUACAUCGGAAUCUACUUUUUCGUGGGGGAUAACGUAGGGAAACUUACGCUAAUACCGCAUACGACCUACGGGUGAAAGCAGGGGAUCUUCGGACCUUGCGCGAUUGUAUGAGCCGAUGUCGGAUUAGCUAGUUGGCGGGGUAAAGGCCCACCAAGGCGACGAUCCGUAGCUGGUCUGAGAGGAUGAUCCGCCACACUGGAACUGAGACACGGUCCAGACUCCUACGGGAGGCAGCAGUGGGGAAUAUUGGACGAUGGGCGCAAGCCUGAUCCAGCCAUACCGCGUGGGUGAAGAAGGCCUUCGGGUUGUAAAGCCCUUUUGUUGGGAAAGAAAAGCAGCAGGUUAAUACCCCGCUGUUCUGACGGUACCCAAAGAAUAAGCACCGGCUAACUUCGUG
This 492-nucleotide ribosomal RNA is filed under the name uncultured bacterium. RNAcentral's name for it is "partial 16S ribosomal RNA". It matches the Rfam family "Bacterial small subunit ribosomal RNA", at positions 29 to 507 of the family's 1533-position model. The record is from RNAcentral.